Molecule: non-coding RNA, 72 nt
Organism: Bos taurus (domestic cattle)
Lineage: Eukaryota; Metazoa; Chordata; Mammalia; Artiodactyla; Bovidae
Source: Rfam
UCCCUACUGGCUCAGUUGGUAAAGAAUCUGCCUGCAAUGCAGGAGACCUGGGUUCGAUCCCUGGGUAGGGAU